RNAcentral lists this transfer RNA (75 nucleotides) under compost metagenome. Its description in RNAcentral is "tRNA-Glu". It matches the Rfam family "tRNA". From Rfam's summary of the family: Transfer RNA (tRNA) molecules are approximately 80 nucleotides in length. The record is from RNAcentral.
GGACCGUUAGUCAAGUGGUUAAGACGUCGCACUUUCACUGCGGAGACGGGAGUUCGAAUCUCCUACGGUUCACCA